Passer domesticus (house sparrow) is the source of this 1737-nucleotide long non-coding RNA. RefSeq lists it as uncharacterized. Lineage: Eukaryota; Metazoa; Chordata; Aves; Passeriformes; Passeridae. The record is from RefSeq and is a predicted model, not a curated record. The transcript has 3 exons.
CGGCCCGGUCACCACGUCCCGCCUCACGGCCCCAACGAGCCGGGCGGGGACCUAAAAUAAGAACAGGGAGGGCGUUUGAUAAAUUCCUUCGACCCGCCUGCCACUGAGGCGAUGGCCAGAACACCACUGAAAGAGGAGAGCAUAUGGUACAGCACGGCUCGUUUGUAUUUUUAAGGAGUUUCAUUAUAUAGAAAUCGAGCAAUCUAUCUAUAAAAAUAUAAGUACAAGGUCUAAGUAGGGAGAGAAAUACACAGCACCUGCUCGUGAGCACAAACUACCAUUGAAAAUCACUCGUUUCCACCUUAAAACCUCAGGCACGCCUGUGCCGGCAGUGCAGCUGCAGCCAAAGCCAUUACAACUGUGAUGUUUUGGGGUUCUAAUCGAUGCUGUGCCGCUCAGGUGGAAAUUGAUGGAAACACUGAAAUUUCACGAAGAAAACCUGCUGAUGAAAGGAAGGAGGACCCACGUUUCGCUCAGUCCAGAAGCAUCAGGAGAAUAUAGGUCUGACUUCACAGCUGAUGAGCCUGGGCAGGGCAGGAGAGGAAGCCACGCUGUUUAUCACCAAUGGCUUUUUAGCACACAGCUGUGCCAGUGCCUGACCACCCUUUCAGUGAAGGAUUUUUCCCAAUAUCUGAUCUGAACCUGUCUUGGCAUAACUUGAGGCCAUUCUCUCUCAUCCUAUUCCCUAGGAACAGAGCCUGACUCCCACCUGGCUGUCCCCUCCUGUCAGGAGUUGUGCAGAGCCAAAAGGUCCCCCUUGAGCCUCCUUUUCUCCAGGCUGAGCCCCCCCAGCAGCUCCAGCCCUUCUCCAGCUCUGUUCCCUUCUGUGAACGUGCUCCAGCCCCUCAAUGUCUUUUCUUGUUGGGAGGGACCAGGACUGCCCCCAGGGCUGGAGGUGCCUCAGCAAUGCUCAGGGGGACAGUCACUGCCCUGGUCCUGCUGGCACAAUGUUCCUGACAGGAUGUAUCACCAGUGCUGUAGGAAGGAGAAGAUGGCUCCUUGAUUGUCUCAGCACCCUCUAAACUGUCACUAAUUUUUUCCUCUUCUGCAUCUGAAUAAAAAUGAAAUGUUAGGUGAUGUUAAUAAAACUUCUCAAAUGGUCCCCCAAGCUGCAGGAAUUUUUCACUGCUCUGUGCACAGCCAGGCUUCCUGUAGCUUAAAGAGCUGGAGGUUGUCCUGUCCAUCACAGCUCCAAAACAGUUAACCAAACCCAGUCCCAGCAUCUUAAUCUGGCAAUUUAAAGAUAAGCUAAACAAAUACCAGGGCUGCUCAGAGCCCCACUGAGCAGGGAAAGGAUUCUUAUAAACCAUUUGCAUGGUGUAAAGCAGACACAGAGGGAAUCUAGCCUGGCAGUUCUGUCUGAUCCACCACUGCUUGAUUCAAACCAAGGGCUACAUCCCAUCUUCAGAGACAAAACUAGCAGGGUUCAUAGCUACACAUUCUCCUGCUUUCCCAUCCCUCUCCUGCCACCAUGUCCAGUCCUUGAUGCUCUGAAGAACCAAACAGCAUCUGAAGAGAGACAAACCAACAUCACCAGCUGGAAGACAUAAAGACCAACAAAAUGAAGAGGAGAGUGAAGUGGGGGGGAUGUCUGGAAAAUAACAAUGUUUAUUUAUCAUAAAUACAGAUCAGCUAGGUGUGCAGUUUAUCUCACAAGACUCUCCAGAAAGCCACACAGUAGAAAGCUGCCUCCCAGUUACUUCCCUUUUUUCACAAGACCAGGAUGAACUCACUUAU